Molecule: ribosomal RNA, 261 nt
Filed under: uncultured bacterium
Lineage: Bacteria
Description: partial 16S ribosomal RNA
Rfam family: Bacterial small subunit ribosomal RNA
Source: RNAcentral
CAGGUCCUACGGGAGGCAGCAGUGGGGAAUAUUGCACAAUGGGGGAAACCCUGAUGCAGCGACGCCGCGUGAGUGAGGAAGUAUUUCGGUAUGUAAAGCUCUAUCAGCAGGGAAGAAAAUGACGGUACCUGACUAAGAAGCCCCGGCUAACUACGUGCCAGCAGCCGCGGUAAUACGUAGGGGGCAAGCGUUAUCCGGAUUUACUGGGUGUAAAGGGAGCGUAGACGAAAUUGAAAGUCUGAUGUGAAAAUCAGGGGCCCA